UGGGAUAUAGCUCAGUUGGUAGAGUGCUGGCCUUGAAUGCAUAAAGCCCUGGGUUCAAUCCCCAGAACCACAC
RNAcentral lists this transfer RNA (73 nucleotides) under Ictidomys tridecemlineatus (thirteen-lined ground squirrel). RNAcentral describes it as "Spermophilus tridecemlineatus (thirteen-lined ground squirrel) tRNA". It matches the Rfam family "tRNA". From Rfam's summary of the family: Transfer RNA (tRNA) molecules are approximately 80 nucleotides in length. Their secondary structure includes four short double-helical elements and three loops (D, anti-codon, and T loops). Further hydrogen bonds mediate the characteristic L-shaped molecular structure. tRNAs have two regions of fundamental functional importance: the anti-codon, which is responsible for specific mRNA codon recognition, and the 3' end, to which the tRNAs corresponding amino acid is attached (by aminoacyl-tRNA synthetases). tRNAs cope with the degeneracy of the genetic code in two manners: having more than one tRNA (with a specific anti-codon) for a particular amino acid; and 'wobble' base-pairing, i.e. permitting non-standard base-pairing at the 3rd anti-codon position. The record is from Rfam by way of RNAcentral. Lineage: Eukaryota; Metazoa; Chordata; Mammalia; Rodentia; Sciuridae.